GAUGAACGCUAGCUACAGGCUUAACACAUGCAAGUCGAGGGGCAGCAUGGAAGAAGCUUGCUUCUUCUGAUGGCGACCGGCGCACGGGUGCGUAACGCGUAUCAAACCUGCCUCAUACUCGGGGAUAGCCUUGCGAAAGUAAGAUUAAUACCCGAUGUUGUUAUGUUGCCGCAUGGUGAUAUAACCAAAGAUUUAUCGGUAUGAGAUGGUGAUGCGUCCGAUUAGGUAGUAGGCGGGGUAACGGCCCACCUAGCCUUCGAUCGGUAGGGGUUCUGAGAGGAAGGUCCCCCACACUGGAACUGAGACACGGUCCAGACUCCUACGGGAGGCAGCAGUGAGGAAUAUUGGUCAAUGGACGGAAGUCUGAACCAGCCAAGUAGCGUGCAGGAUGACGGCCCUCCGGGUUGUAAACUGCUUUUAGUUGGGAAUAAAAAAGAGGACGUGUCCUCUAUUGUAUGUACCUUCAGAAAAAGGACCGGCUAAUUCCGUGCCAGCAGCCGCGGUAAUACGGAAGGUCCAGGCGUUAUCCGGAUUUAUUGGGUUUAAAGGGAGCGUAGGCGGAUUAUUAAGUCAGUGGUGAAAGACGGUGGCUCAACCAUCGUUAGCCAUUGAAACUGGUAGUCUUGAGUGCAGACAGGGAUGCUGGAACUCGUGGUGUAGCGGUGAAAUGCUUAGAUAUCACGAUGAACUCCGAUCGCGAAGGCAGGUGUCCGGGCUGCAACUGACGCUGAGGCUCGAAAGUGUGGGUAUCAAACAGG
Molecule: ribosomal RNA, 758 nt
Filed under: uncultured Prevotella sp.
Lineage: Bacteria; Pseudomonadati; Bacteroidota; Bacteroidia; Bacteroidales; Prevotellaceae
Description: bacterial SSU rRNA
Rfam family: Bacterial small subunit ribosomal RNA
Source: RNAcentral